RNAcentral lists this ribosomal RNA (587 nucleotides) under uncultured Acidovorax sp. Its description in RNAcentral is "bacterial SSU rRNA". It matches the Rfam family "Bacterial small subunit ribosomal RNA", at positions 336 to 916 of the family's 1533-position model. The record is from RNAcentral. Lineage: Bacteria; Pseudomonadati; Pseudomonadota; Betaproteobacteria; Burkholderiales; Comamonadaceae.
CUCCUACGGGAGGCAGCAGUGGGGAAUUUUGGACAAUGGGCGAAAGCCUGGUCCAGCAAUGCCGCGUGCAGGAAGAAGGCCUUCGGGUUGUAAACUGCUUUUGUACGGAACGAAACGGCUUUUUCUAAUACAGAGAGCUAAUGACGGUACCGUAAGAAUAAGCACCGGCUAACUACGUGCCAGCAGCCGCGGUAAUACGUAGGGUGCGAGCGUURAUCGGAAUUACUGGGCGUAAAGCGUGCGCAGGCGGUUAUGUAAGACAGUUGUGAAAUCCCCGGGCUCAACCUGGGAAUUGCAUCUGUGACUGCAUAGCUAGAGUACGGUAGAGGGGGAUGGAAUUCCGCGUGUAGCAGUGAAAUGCGUAGAUAUGCGGAGGAACACCGAUGGCGAAGGCAAUCCCCUGGACCUGUACUGACGCUCAUGCACGAAAGCGUGGGGAGCAAACAGGAUUAGAUACCCUGGUAGUCCACGCCCUAAACGAUGUCRACUGGUUGUUGGGUGCAUUAGUACUCAGUAACGAAGCUAACGCGUGAAGUUGACCGCCUGGGGAGUACGGCCGCAAGGUUGARACUCAAAUGAAUUGACGG